GACGAACGCUGGCGGCGUGCCUAAUACAUGCAAGUCGAGCGGACUUUAUCCUUCGGGGUAAGGUUAGCGGCGGACGGGUGAGUAACACGUAGGCAACCUGCCUGUAAGACCGGGAUAACAUUCGGAAACGGAUGCUAACACCGGAUAUGCGACUUGGCUGCAGGGCUGGGUUGGGAAAGACGGCGCAAGCUGUCACUUACAGAUGGGCCUGCGGGGCAUUAGCUAGUGGGUGAGGUAACGGCUCACCAAGGCGACGAUGCAUAGCCGGACUGGGAGGGUGGUCGGCCACACUGGGACUGAGACACGGACCAGACUCCUACGGGAGGCAGCAGUAGGGAAUCUUCCGCAAUGGACGAAAGUCUGACGGAGCAACGCCGCGUGAGUGAUGAAGGUUUUCGGAUCGUAAAGCUCUGUUGCCAGGGAAGAACAGCCAGGAGAGUAACUGCUCUUGGAAUGACGGUACCUGAGAAGAAAGCCCCGGCUAACUACGUGCCAGCAGCCGCCGUAA
RNAcentral lists this ribosomal RNA (508 nucleotides) under uncultured bacterium. Its description in RNAcentral is "partial 16S ribosomal RNA". It matches the Rfam family "Bacterial small subunit ribosomal RNA", at positions 28 to 523 of the family's 1533-position model. The record is from RNAcentral.